AGCAUGUUAGCUCAGGGGAAGAGCGCCGGGCUCAUAACCCGGAGGUAAGCUUAUCCUUGUCCAUCUCAUCAACUUUAGUCAUCUAACGCAUAAUAGGUCCCUGGAUCGAAACCAGGACAUGCUA
Molecule: transfer RNA, 124 nt
Filed under: Aspergillus nomiae NRRL 13137
Lineage: Eukaryota; Fungi; Ascomycota; Eurotiomycetes; Eurotiales; Aspergillaceae
Description: Aspergillus nomius NRRL 13137 tRNA
Rfam family: tRNA
About the family: Transfer RNA (tRNA) molecules are approximately 80 nucleotides in length. Their secondary structure includes four short double-helical elements and three loops (D, anti-codon, and T loops). Further hydrogen bonds mediate the characteristic L-shaped molecular structure. tRNAs have two regions of fundamental functional importance: the anti-codon, which is responsible for specific mRNA codon recognition, and the 3' end, to which the tRNAs corresponding amino acid is attached (by aminoacyl-tRNA synthetases). tRNAs cope with the degeneracy of the genetic code in two manners: having more than one tRNA (with a specific anti-codon) for a particular amino acid; and 'wobble' base-pairing, i.e. permitting non-standard base-pairing at the 3rd anti-codon position.
Source: Rfam by way of RNAcentral